AUGGUCAACGGGUUCGCCAAGCUCGGCUGCUUCGACCGCGCCAUGGAGUGCUUCCUGCGGAUGAGGCAGGAUGGCACGGUGGAGGUCAGCGCUUUCACCGUCACCGGAAUCCUGUCGGUCUGCACCGCGGCCGCGGAUUUUCAGUGCGGGGCUGCUGUUCACGGGAUGGUGGUGAAGUCGGGACUUGACCACAAUGUUUCGGUGUGUAACGCCUUGGUGGAUCUUUAUGGGAAGUCCCAUGAUGUGGCCAAUGCGGCAAUGGUGUUUGAGGGGAUGGCAGAGCAGGACAGGGACUUGUUCAGCUGGAACUCGAUGCUGUCGGCUUUGCACUACUCGGCUGACCAUAUGGGGACAAUGAGGCUCUUUCAUAGGAUGAGGCAUGCUGCAGUAUGGCCGGACACAGUGACCGUUGCGGCUGUUCUCCCUGCAUGUGCGCAGACUGCAGCACUGAAGGUUGGGAGGACGGUGCAUGGGUACAUUAUCACGAUCGGACUGGCUCGCGAUGGUGCAAUGGGCGUGCGCGCUUGUAAUGCACUGGUAGACAUGUAUGCCAAGAGCGGGGCACUGGAUGAGGCAUGCCGUGUAUUUUACUGGAUGCGCCAACAGGACGUGGCAUCAUGGAAUAUUAUGAUCGACGGGUAUGCAUCCCAUGGGCGUGGGCAGGAGGCACUGGAGUUGUUCCGCCAGAUGACAGAGGUGAAAGGUCUGGUGCCAGAUGAGGUAACUCUGCUGGCAGCAAUGUCGGCGUGCAGCCAUUCUGGGUUUGUCGAAGAAGGGAGAAUUCUUCUUAAGAGAAUGAAAGAGGAGUUCAGUUUGGAGCCGCAGAUGGAGCACUACGCAUGUCUGACUGACAUGCUUGGGCGAGCAGGGAGGCUGGAUGAGGCGAGAAAGGUUGUAGAGGAGGCAGGGGAUGUAGGAGCUGGUGCGUGGAGGACAUACCUUGCAGCAUGCCGGAUGCAUGGUGAUAAAGAAAGGGCCCAAGAGGCAGCUAGGAUGCUGAUGGCGACGAAGGAGCCUGGGAGUGGUGGAUGGGUGCUGCUAGCGAACACAUAUGGCUGGGAUGGAAACUUUGAGGGCCUGGAGGAGGUAAGGGGGGAGAUGAGACGGCAAGGAGUGCAGAAGGCUGCGGGCUGCAGCUGGGUUUAG
This 1146-nucleotide ribosomal RNA is filed under the name Triticum aestivum (bread wheat). RNAcentral's name for it is "partial small subunit ribosomal RNA". The record is from RNAcentral. Lineage: Eukaryota; Viridiplantae; Streptophyta; Magnoliopsida; Poales; Poaceae.